Molecule: transfer RNA, 97 nt
Filed under: Companilactobacillus allii
Lineage: Bacteria; Bacillati; Bacillota; Bacilli; Lactobacillales; Lactobacillaceae
Description: tRNA-Sec
Rfam family: Selenocysteine transfer RNA
Source: RNAcentral
GGGAGUGGAUAGGUUCUGGUGUUCCUUCUAGUCUUCAAAACUAGCAUGAGGGGUUAAUAGCUUCUUAGGUGGGUUCGAUUCCCACACAUUCCCGCCA